Molecule: long non-coding RNA, 1011 nt
Organism: Nomascus leucogenys (northern white-cheeked gibbon)
Lineage: Eukaryota; Metazoa; Chordata; Mammalia; Primates; Hylobatidae
Exons: 2
Source: RefSeq, a predicted model, not a curated record
CACCACAAAGGUCACAGCAGCUCCCACCACAGGCAGGGCACUGCUGGGGGCUGCAAGUGUCUUAUUCCUCAGCAGCCGCGUGGGGGCAGCUCUGGCUCACCCCACUUCCAGGUGAGAAGUCGAGGCCCAGCAAGGUCAUGAAUCUUACCCAGGUUAUCCCUGGCAGUGGAUAGUGGGCCAGGACUCCCCAGAAUACAAAGCCAAUCUGAGGCAGCCGUUUAAGAAUCUUUCCCGGCUCCCACCGCCUUGUCUGGACAGCGAGAAGCCCCUUCAGGUGGAAGGGGGUGGAGAGACUUGGCGUUACUGCCCGGACUCACUGGCCCAUCUCUUCUCCCAUGGCUGCCCCCAGCUACGGCUGCAUCAAGCUGUGGCUGGGAAAAGGGGAUGCCUCGCAGGGCCCUGAGGCCCCAGACCUUGGCAGUGCUAUGUGGCUGGUGCAUCUCAGCCCCAUGACGAGUGUGAGGCCUGGGGCUGCCUGACAGCUCCCCAGCAGCUCUGGCUGGCCCCAGGAGUGGCACUGCCCCGUCCCUCUGAGGUCCUGGGCCUGCCCAGAUGGUCUACUUGGAAGGCUUGGCUUGUGGGCCUGUCCCAGGAGGGUGCUGGUCCUCUCAGCAGGACGUGGGGACUAGGGUUGGGGGAACUCGGGAGGAUUCAUAAGGGUCCCAGAUCACGUCCUGGGGACUUGGCAGCCACAGCCUUCCCUGCGUGGCCAUGGGCCUCAUGGAUUCCCCUGGUGGACACCAGGAAGGUGGCCUGGGAGAAGGCAGGAAGAGGAGGCCAACAGGGACAGAGGAAGCAGGAGUGUCCAGCCUACAAGUGCGUGCAUAGACAGAGCCCUGAGACCUGCUGCACUGAGGUCAAUCCUGCCUGACCUCACUGAGAUUCAAUCCUGCCUGACUUAGGAAUAAUCAAGAGACCGGGAAUUUUCUCACUCUAGUUUUUAGAGAAAUAGAAAAUUUCAAACCACGUUAAAAAGUUAUUUAAUAAAAUCUUCAAUAUUUUUCAUACAUA